This is a long non-coding RNA of Ictalurus punctatus (channel catfish), 755 nucleotides long. The record is from Ensembl. NCBI's taxonomy places the organism in Eukaryota, Metazoa, Chordata, Actinopteri, Siluriformes, Ictaluridae.
CUUCUCUUAGGCUCACAGCUGCUAAAGGCACCCGACCCUGUUCCAGUCCCAGGCCUCAAUUGCAGAGUCAUGUGUAUUUCAGGUGAGCAAAUAUUGCCACUUGUUUGAGAGUUCAGUGCCUGCCCCUUUCAGAUGUUGCGUAUUGCAGUCACUCAAAGGAAGUAGGUGUGAGGACAUGGGAGCUCCUCUCAACACAGCUGGAGCUGUUCAAUCUGUCCAACCACACACCGCGUCUUAAACAGCAGCCUCUUUGUAGUACAGAGACUGACUCAAGGAGGAUACAUCACACAGACCACCCCAGUGCUGACAGGGGACUGCAACCUGAUCUGCUGUUCAAGGCCAGACUGGAAGCAGACAGCACCUGACUGUGCACAUCUACAGGUUCUUACAGUGCUAAAUGAGAGAGAGAGAGCGAAAAGUCUAGUGUUUGGGGUGAGCCAAGCUGCCUGAUGGCCAGUGGUUACACAAUUGCAUCCAGCUGCUGCUAACUGCAUGUGACGUGUUGCCGCUUUUACCGAGUAGUGAACCUAACCCAGCAUGCAUGCUGACACGCACACAGCACAUGCUAGCAUCAUAUACCAUACCUCAGAAACCAAAGAAGUGCUCUUAAAAUGUGUGGUCUGGUGGCUGCAAAGACCAAGAAUUUAUCAAUAUCUUUCAUGUAAAUUCUAAAUUACAUAGCCCAACCAACAAGUCAGCCAUACAACUAUAGGGACUAGACGUAACAUCUAGGAUUCAGUGUACACAGUACUUCA